CCUACGGGAGGCUGCAGUGGGGAAUAUUGCACAAUGGUGGGAACCCUGAUGCAGCGACGCAGCGUGAGUGAAGAAGUAUUUCGGUAUGUAAAGCUCUAUCAGCAGGGAAGAAAAUGACGGUACCUGACUAAUAAGCCCCGGCUAACUACGUGCCAGCAGCCGCGGUAAUACGUAGGGGGCAAGCGUUAUCCGGAUUUACUGGGUGUAAAGGGAGCGUAGACGGUUAGGUAAGUCUGAAGUGAAAGGCCAAGGCUCAACCAUGGGACUGCUGCGGAAACUGUCAAACUGGAGUGCAGGGGAGGUAAGCGGAAUUCGUGGUGUAGCGGUGAAAUGCGUAGAUAUCACGAAGAACACCGGUGGCGAAGGCAGCAUACGGCAGCGCAACUGACGUUGAAGCUCGAAGGCGCGGGUAGCGAACAGGAUUAGAUACCCGAGUAGUC
This 440-nucleotide ribosomal RNA is filed under the name uncultured bacterium. Its description in RNAcentral is "partial 16S ribosomal RNA". It matches the Rfam family "Bacterial small subunit ribosomal RNA", at positions 338 to 795 of the family's 1533-position model. The record is from RNAcentral.